Molecule: ribosomal RNA, 3344 nt
Filed under: Gammaproteobacteria bacterium
Lineage: Bacteria; Pseudomonadati; Pseudomonadota; Gammaproteobacteria
Description: 23S ribosomal RNA
Rfam family: Bacterial large subunit ribosomal RNA
Source: RNAcentral
AUAGUCAAGUUACUAAGAGCAUAUGGCGGAUGCCUUGGUACCAGGUGUUGAUGAAGGACGCGGUUAGCUGCGAUAAGCCUCGGGUAGGUGCAAACAACCUUAGAUCCGGGGAUUUCCGAAUGGGGAAACCUGUUCCAGAUAAUACUGGAACAUCAUUAUCUGAACACAUAGGAUAGUGAGAACAACCAGGGGAACUGAAACAUCUUAGUACCCUGAGGAAGAGAAAUCAACCGAGAUUCCCUUAGUAGUGGCGAGCGAAAGGGGAACAGCCUAAACUUUUUGCAUGUUAAAGCCCACAAGCCUUGUGUAAAAAGAGUUGUAGGAGCUGCCUGGUUUUGUUGUGGCAAAAUCAAAGAGUUACAAAAUCUUAAAAUAGCUGAACAGUUUGGAAAAACAGGCCAUAGGNNGGCCAUAGGAGGUAAAAGCCCUGUAAGCGAAAUUUUAAGGUCUCUUGGCAGAUUUCCUGAGUACGGUGGGACACGUGAAAUCCUGCCGGAAGCUACGAGGACCACCUUGUAAGGCUAAAUACUACCUGGUGACCGAUAGUGGACUAGUACCGUGAGGGAAAGGUGAAAAGUACCCCGGGAGGGGAGUGAAAUAGUACCUGAAACCAUAUGCUUACAAGCAGUCGGAGGGAGGGGAGCAAAGUUCUCCCUGGUCUACGAGACCAACUCCUGACGGCGUGCCUUUUGUAGAAUGAACCGGUGAGUUACAGUAUGUAGCGAGGUUAAGGUGUAUACUGGAGCCGAAGCGAAAGCGAGUCUGAAUAGGGCGAUUUAGUUGCAUGCUGUAGACCCGAAGCCGAGUGAUCUAUCCAUGGGCAGGUUGAAGCGAGGGUAAGACCUCGUGGAGGACCGAACCCACCAGGGUUGAAAACCUGGGGGAUGACCUGUGGAUAGGGGUGAAAGGCCAAUCAAACUCGGAGAUAGCUGGUUCUCCCCGAAAUAGCUUUAGGGCUAGCCUUAAGCGUUUAGUUAUGGUGGUAGAGCACUGAUUGGACUAGGGGCCCCACCAGGUUACCAAACCCAGUCAAACUCCGAAUGCCAUAACUUUAGAGCUUGGGAGUCAGACUGUGGGGGAUAAGCUCCAUAGUCGAAAGGGAAACAGCCCAGACCGUCAGCUAAGGUCCCUAAAUAUAGGCUAAGUGGUAAAGGAUGUGGAAUUGCACAGACAGCCAGGAGGUUGGCUUAGAAGCAGCAACCCUUUAAAGAGUGCGUAACAGCUCACUGGUCAAGUGGUUCUGCGCCGACAAUUUCCGGGGCUAAAGUCUAUUACCGAAGCUACGGGUUUCAGAAGUCUGAAGUCUGAAAUAAGAAAAUACACAGUUCUAGGAGGGGCAAUGGAUCAAGAAUAUAUCUAUUUAUACCAAAGGGUUUAUCAAUCANNNNNNNNNNNNNNNNNNNNNNNNNNNNNNNNNNNNNNNNNNNNNNNNNNNNNNNNNNNNNNNNNNNNNNNNNNNNNNNNNNNNNNNNNNNNNNNNNNNCUUUGGAGAUUCAGACUUACCUUAACUUUGCUCAUGAUCUCAAUUAUUUGAAAAACAUGGAUUAUUCUAGAUUAAUAUCGAUAUAUGGGCAGGUUAACGAAAUUACUGAAGAUUAUAUUGAUUAGUUUUCUUAUUUUAGAUUUCGGACUUCUGGAGCGGUAGGGGAGCAUUCUCUACGGGUUGAAGUUAACUCGCAAGGGUUAAUGGACUGUAGGGAAGAGAGAAUGCCGGUAUAAGUAGCGAAUGUGAGGCGAGAAACCUCACCGCCGGAUGCUUAAGGGUUCCUGAGCAAUGUUAAUCAUCUCAGGGUCAGUCGGGACCUAAGCCGAGGGGGAAACCCGUAGGCGAUGGACAACAGGUAGACAUUCCUGUACCACCAAGUUGCGUUUGACCGAAGUGGUGACGCAGAAGGGUAGACCAUCCUCGAGUUGGUUUUCGAGGUUCAAGCAUGUAGGGGGCCAGGUAGGCAAAUCCGCCUGGUAUUAAACCCCAAGGUGUGAUAACGAGCCAAUUGAGGCGAAGUGGUUGAUCUCAAGCUGCCAAGAAAAACCUCUAGGGAGCAGCAAGGUGCCCGUACCCCAAACCGACACAGGUAGGCAGGGAGAGAAUCCCAAGGCGAUCGAGAGAACUCUCGUUAAGGAACUCGGCAAAAUGACCCCGUAACUUCGGGAGAAGGGGUGCCCUAUUAGGGUGAAGGUCUUGCGACUGGAGCUCGAGGGGGUUGCAGUGAAACGGCCCAAGCGACUGUUUACUAAAAACACAGGUCUCUGCUAAGUCGAAAGACGAUGUAUAGGGGCUGACGCCUGCCCGGUGCUGGAAGGUUAAGAGGAGGGGUUAGGCUUUUAGCCGAAGCACUGAAUCUAAGCCCCAGUAAACGGCGGCCGUAACUAUAACGGUCCUAAGGUAGCGAAAUUCCUUGUCGGGUAAGUUCCGACCUGCACGAAUGGCGUAACGACUUGGGCGCUGUCUCAACCAGGGACUCGGCGAAAUUGUAGUACCAGUGAAGAUGCUGGUUACCCGCGACAGGACGGAAAGACCCCGUGAACCUUUACUAUAGCUAGACAUUGGAUUUUGAUCCAUUUUGUAGAGGAUAGGUGGGAGGCUUUGAAGCCGGGACGCCAGUCUCGGUGGAGCCAACCUUGGAAUACCACCCUGAAUGUAUUGAGGUUCUAACGGUAGACCGUUAUCCGGCUGAGGAACAGUGUCAGGUGGGUAGUUUGACUGGGGCGGUCGCCUCCAAAAGAGUAACGGAGGCGCCCAAAGGUUCCCUCAGCACGGUCGGCAAUCGUGCGCAGAGUGUAAGGGCAUAAGGGAGCUUAACUGUGAGACUUACAAGUCGAACAGGGACGAAAGUCGGGCCUAGUGAUCCGACGGUUCAGUGUGGAAUGGCCGUCGCUCAACGGAUAAAAGGUACUCCGGGGAUAACAGGCUUAUCCUGCCCAAGAGUCCAUAUCGACGGCAGGGUUUGGCACCUCGAUGUCGGCUCAUCGCAUCCUGGGGCUGGAGCAGGUCCCAAGGGUUNNAGCGGUACGCGAGCUGGGUUUAGAACGUCGUGAGACAGUUCGGUCCCUAUCCGUUGCGGGCGUAGGAAACUUGAGGGGAGUCGUCCCUAGUACGAGAGGACCGGGAUGAACAAACCUCUAGUGUACCAGUUGUCUCGCCAGAGGCACUGCUGGGUAGCUAUGUUCGGAAAGGAUAAGCGCUGAAAGCAUCUAAGCGCGAAGCCUGCCCCAAGAUUAGGUUUCCCACCCUAUAAUGAUAGGGGUAAGAUUCCUUGUAGACUACAAGGUUGAUAGGACGCAGGUGUAAGAACAGCAAUGUUUUUAGCUGAGCGUUACUAAUAGAUCGAGGACUUGAUUCU